CCCAUUUUUUGGUUUCGUCGCAAUUUUUUUCGUUUCGUCUCUCAGCUACACAAAUGUUUCCUACUGGGACUCUCUCUCCCAACACUUAUUAGGACUCUCUCUCCCUCCCUCUCUGGCUCUCUCCCCUUUAAACCAUCAGAAGUAUCUCAAUUGAUAUAGAAGUGUCGAAUUUAUCUUCAAACUCACUGAUGGUGGCAUAACUGACUCUAACUAUGUGGACGGGAUCGAGGUAGCCGCGGACAAUAAUGGAUUUACGGAUUUUAGAAGACCAUCGGGUAUUAAUAAUUAUGAUUUAAUUAAUCGCGUAACUACAAAAGGUUCGGAUGUGUGUGCUGAGCUCCGUGACGGGUUAGUAGAAGGGACUGAUUAUAUAUUGCUUCCAAAAGCAGUUUGGAAUCAGUUACAUGCUUGGGAGGCUUCAACUGUACUCAAAAUUGAGGGCACCGAUAGAGCAGAUGAGCUGAUGAAGAAAGUUUAGUUUAUUUACAGAACAGGAUUCAUUCGGCUUUCGAUAGGCCGUUAACAAUGUGGGAAAAGUAUUGUUUGCACCAUUGUUUUGCUUUUCUGCUAGGAUUCACGCUGCCCGCAAAUGGUCACAGGGUUAUCUCUUUACAUCAUACAAAGGAACUUGCUCCAUUCAGAUUCUUUUGAAGGUACAAAUGUCUAACAGAGGUAAGUUUCAAUAUUAUAUUAUUUUUUUCAUGUUUAUAUUAUAAUAUAGACAGGGUUAUCUUUUGGUCCAUCAUGGCUCUCCCUAAGAUAUUGAAUUUUUAUCUUGUUUAUCAAAAAAAAAAAAUUGAUACAAAUUAAUAUUUACAGUUGUGUAGUUAAAUGUUUCUUUACUUAUUGAAAAUAUCUGCCUGUUCUUGUGUAUUUUUUUCCCAAAUCUUAGUUUACUUUUUCAAUCAGCUAACUAAUGUCAUGUAGUAAAUAGUAACUUUACAAAGCCACUUUAUAGAUAUGACAAUCCUUUAACUGAUAAGUUAUCAUCUCAGCUUCUGUGAGACUGUGACUUUGAACUCAUUCAAAUGCUUUUACUUAGUCUGGUUUUGCACAUUUCAUUCCUCUAGAGCCUAUUGAACAUAUAUUCUUAUGUAGAAGCAAGGUAUAUUACUUUUUUGCUACUAAAAUUUAAUUAUGAUUUAAUAAAAUAUUAUGCAGUUAUUGAGUUUUUGGGCGAAGCAGGUAGCUGCAUUACAACUCUAUCCAUCCGGAGGGAGGUUAGUAAUGGACCUGAGUUUAUAUAUACUAUAUACUUUUAGACAGUAUAAGUAUAAUUUCUAGGUUUUGUACUUUGACAGAUAAAGAUCUAAAUAUGUUACUUAAAAUUAGCAGAUUGCUAUAGUUGUUCAACAUAUAUAAUUAUCGCCAAGUUUCUCUUUAGCGAUGUUUGGAAAGAUCCCAGGUCUGCGACUACAUCUGUGAUACUAUAUAUUUUGAAUUAUGUAGUGAACCAUGUAAAGUGUACAUCUGUGAUACAUCGUUUUGAUACACUGAGACUGCAGCCACUUGGUGAUAUUUAUCAAGGGGAACAUUUCGUGAAUUCACUUAAGGAUGAAGUCAAUAUCAUAAAGGUGAGCCCUUCUCAUUUGCAUUCUCUGGACAUGGAAGCAAUUGGUAGUCUAAUACGGAAUUCCUCUAUUAAAGCUUUACCUUUUAAGACCUAUAGUGAACCUGAAUCUUGAUUAAACUCUUUUAACUCACUUUAGAUCACCGAUGCGGAUAUUCCUAAGGAAGCAACAUCUCUUAAUUAUCUUAAUAUAGUUAUACUUUCUCUUGCAAUUGCUUGGAUUCAGGAACCGACUAGGCUUCGACCCAUUACCAUAUGAUUUCCAAGUAGAUAACAUUGUUCUACGAUCUAUAUAUAUUUAUAAUCAUAAUGUACUCCUGUCAUGUGGAUAAUAGAUGUUCAUAAUUUA
Daucus carota subsp. sativus is the source of this 1919-nucleotide RNA transcript. RefSeq lists it as uncharacterized. Lineage: Eukaryota; Viridiplantae; Streptophyta; Magnoliopsida; Apiales; Apiaceae. The transcript is spliced from 5 exons. The record is from RefSeq and is a predicted model, not a curated record.